GAUGAAGAACGCAGCGAAAUGCGAUAAGUAAUGUGAAUUGCAGAAUUUAGUGAAUCAUCGAAUCUUUGAACGCACAUUGCGCCCGCUGGUAUUCCGGCGGGCAUGCCUGUUCGAGCGUCAUUUCAACCCUCAAGCUCUCCGGAGUUUGGUGUUGGGGCGCCUGGGGCUUUUCGACCUCAGGGCCCUCAAGUCCAUCGGCGGGACCGCCAGGACACUGAGCGCAGUAGUAUUAUUUCGCUCGGUAGGAUCUUCCACGGCGGGUCGAUCUGGCCGCUAAACCCCCCAAUUCUCACCAAAGGUUGACCUCGGAUCAGGUAGGAAUACCCGCUGAACUUAAGCAUAUCAAUAAGCGGAGGA
Molecule: unclassified non-coding RNA, 357 nt
Filed under: soil metagenome
Description: partial contains 5.8S ribosomal RNA, internal transcribed spacer 2, and large subunit ribosomal RNA
Rfam family: 5.8S ribosomal RNA (bases 1-120)
Source: RNAcentral